This 298-nucleotide ribosomal RNA is filed under the name uncultured bacterium. Its description in RNAcentral is "partial 16S ribosomal RNA". It matches the Rfam family "Bacterial small subunit ribosomal RNA", at positions 1092 to 1390 of the family's 1533-position model. The record is from RNAcentral.
ACGAGCGCAACCCCUAUCUUUAGUUGCCAGCAUGUUUGGGUGGGCACUCUAGAGAGACUGCCGGUGACAAGCCGGAGGAAGGUGGGGAUGACGUCAAGUCCUCAUGGCCCUUAUGUCCUGGGCUACACACGUGCUACAAUGGCGAUGACAAUGGGAAGCUAGAUGGCGACAUCGUGCUGAUCUCAAAAAGUCGUCUCAGUUCGGAUUGCACUCUGCAACUCGAGUGCAUGAAGGUGGAAUCGCUAGUAAUCGCGGAUCAGCAUGCCGCGGUGAAUACGUUCCCGGGUCUUGUACACAC